Molecule: long non-coding RNA, 546 nt
Filed under: Mytilus galloprovincialis (Mediterranean mussel)
Lineage: Eukaryota; Metazoa; Mollusca; Bivalvia; Mytilida; Mytilidae
Source: RNAcentral
GUUAUUUUGACUUUAGCGGACCAUAAAUACACUUAUGUGCAGCAUAGGUGACUUUAUGGUACAAUGAAAGACUAAAUUUUAAUUGUAUUCAGUCUUGUGUUAUCAUGUUUUGUAAAUUUUAGAAAUAUGUAGAAAAUAGUUACUGAUGGUACAUAUGUGAUUAUCUAACUUGAAACUCAUUGGAAUUUUGCAAUUGAUAAGGGGGCGCUACUUCAAGCACAUGUUUUAACAUCCAGCCUCUUUUCCAAAUUGCUGCCAAAGGAAGAACACACAGAAAUUUGGUGACAUUCAAUUUUCAUAAAAUAUUUUAAUCCCCUCCCCCUCCCCCUUCUUCCACCUUGAAAAGAGGUUUGUUAAUUGUUGAAUUGGAUGAGGACAAAAAGAGCGGUAUCUGCUCCCAAAAGUUGAAAUGUUACACUAUUAUUAACAAAUUUAUAGUCAAGGGGAGAUAACUCUAAAUUGAUUGACUUUUCAAAAAAUUCAAUUUCAAUAAUUUGAUGACAUUUGUCUUUUCAUUUAUUACAUAAUAUGCUCAUUGGUUCAGAC